This 497-nucleotide ribosomal RNA is filed under the name uncultured bacterium. Its description in RNAcentral is "partial 16S ribosomal RNA". It matches the Rfam family "Bacterial small subunit ribosomal RNA", at positions 28 to 507 of the family's 1533-position model. The record is from RNAcentral.
GAUGAACGCUGGCGGCGUGCCUAAUACAUGCAAGUCGAGCGAACAGACGAGGAGCUUGCUCCUCUGACGUUAGCGGCGGACGGGUGAGUAACACGUGGAUAACCUACCUAUAAGACUGGGAUAACUUCGGGAAACCGGAGCUAAUACCGGAUAAUAUAUUGAACCGCAUGGUUCAAUAGUGAAAGACGGUUUUGCUGUCACUUAUAGAUGGAUCCGCGCCGCAUUAGCUAGUUGGUAAGGUAACGGCUUACCAAGGCAACGAUGCGUAGCCGACCUGAGAGGGUGAUCGGCCACACUGGAACUGAGACACGGUCCAGACUCCUACGGGAGGCAGCAGUAGGGAAGCUUCCGCAAUGGGCGAAAGCCUGACGGAGCAACGCCGCGUGAGUGAUGAAGGUCUUCGGAUCGUAAAACUCUGUUAUUAGGGAAGAACAAAUGUGUAAGUAACUAUGCACGUCUUGACGGUAACUAAUCAGAAAGCCACGGCUAACUACGUG